AGUGAACGCUGGCGGUAGGCCUAACACAUGCAAGUCGAACGGCAGCACAGUAAGAGCUUGCUCUUACGGGUGGCGAGUGGCGGACGGGUGAGGCAUACAUCGGAAUCUACUUUUUCGUGGGGGAUAACGUAGGGCCACUUACGCUAAUACCGCAUACGACCUACGGGUGAAAGCAGGGGAUCUUCGCACCUUGCGCGACUGAAUGAGCCGAUGUCGGAUUAGCUAGUUGGCGUGGUAAAGGCCCACCAAGGCGACGAUCCGUAGCUGAUCUGAGAGGAUGAUCGGCCACACUGGAACUGAGACACGGUCCAGACUCCUACGGGAGGCAGCAGUAGGGAAUAUUGGGCAAUGGGCGCAAGCCUGACGCAGCCAUGCCGCGUGAGUGAUGAAGGCCUUCGGGUUGUAAAACCCUUUUAUUAGGGAAGAAAAGAAGCGGAAGAAAACCCGGCUGUUCUGACGGUACCCAAUCAGUAAGCAACGGCUAACUUCGUG
This 492-nucleotide ribosomal RNA is filed under the name uncultured bacterium. Its description in RNAcentral is "partial 16S ribosomal RNA". It matches the Rfam family "Bacterial small subunit ribosomal RNA", at positions 29 to 507 of the family's 1533-position model. The record is from RNAcentral.